GACGAACGCUGGCGGCGUGCUUAACACAUGCAAGUCGAACGGUGAAGCGCCUUCCUUUUUGGUGGGUGUGGAUGAGUGGCGAACGGGUGAGUAACACGUGAGUAACCUGCCCCCUUCUUCUGGAUAACCGCAUGAAAGUGUGGCUAAUACGGGAUAUUCUGGGUCUGUCGCAUGAUGGGUCUGGGAAAGAUAUUGUUUCGGUGGGGGAUGGGCUCGCGGCCUAUCAGCUUGUUGGUGGGGUGAUGGCCUACCAAGGCGGUGACGGGUAGCCGGCCUGAGAGGGUGGACGGUCACACUGGGACUGAGACACGGCCCAGACUCCUACGGGAGGCAGCAGUGGGGAAUAUUGCACAGUGGGCGCAAGCCUGAUGCAGCGACGCCGCGUGGGGGAUGGAGGCCUGCGGGUUGUGAACCUCUUUCGCCAGUGAAGCAGGCCUGCCUCGUUUGUGGGUGGGUUGACGGUAGCUGGAGAAGAAGCGCCGGCUAACUACGUG
This 494-nucleotide ribosomal RNA is filed under the name uncultured bacterium. Its description in RNAcentral is "partial 16S ribosomal RNA". It matches the Rfam family "Bacterial small subunit ribosomal RNA", at positions 28 to 507 of the family's 1533-position model. The record is from RNAcentral.